This is a non-coding RNA of Glycine soja, 107 nucleotides long. The record is from Rfam. Lineage: Eukaryota; Viridiplantae; Streptophyta; Magnoliopsida; Fabales; Fabaceae.
AUCUGGUGGUGAGGGCAGCUUACACACAAUUUCUUGAAUCUUUCCCAGUUCUCAUACAAGCUUUCUCCACUAAGUUGCCUAAUGCCUAAAAUGUCCUUUCUAAUGGC